This 206-nucleotide ribosomal RNA is filed under the name uncultured bacterium. RNAcentral describes it as "partial 16S ribosomal RNA". It matches the Rfam family "Bacterial small subunit ribosomal RNA", at positions 568 to 774 of the family's 1533-position model. The record is from RNAcentral.
CGUGUAGGCGGUUCGGUAAGUGGGAUGUGAAAUGCCCCGGCUCACCCGGGGACCUGCAUCCCAAACUGCUGAGCUUGAGUACAGGAGAGGGUGGGGGAAUUCCAGGUGUAGCGGUGAAAUGCGUAGAUAUCUGGAGGAACACCGGUGGCGAAGGCGCCCACCUGGCCUGCUACUGACGCUGAGGCGCGAAAGCUAGGGAGCAAACG